GCACUCUUCUCUAACUGUUCACUCUGGUCUCCAGCUGUUGUGUCCUCCUUAGUACUUGACAUGAUGCCUGGCUUCUUAAGAACUUUGGAGCAGUUCUCACAGUAACUUUUGCUGAGGAAGCGGUCAUCUUGGCUUCUGUACUAACCUCUGGUUGAACAGCACUGUCAUUUUUCUCUUCGCUUAGUGGAGAAACAAAUGAUGGUGAAGCAGGAUCUUCUGGAAUGCGGGGAAGGACAUCAACAACCUUUCCUUGGACCUUAUCCUUUCUAGUCUGCAAAGGACCACCUGCAUCCAUGCUAUGAGAUAUCUGUUCCACUUUGGUAGAAUCUGCAGAAUCAAGCAUAUAAGUUUUUAGUUUUGUCCUCAACAGCUACUUCCUGAAACCAGCAAUCUUCAUUCUCUACAUGGUUUGAGAACCUUUAUCCUCUACAUUUGAUUAUUUGAAGCUUCUUUUCUUCAAAGAUCUCCACAUGUACUUAAGUUAACCAACAAUUUGGAGAAAAAAAAUUAUUAUACGAAAACAAGGACUCAAAACCCCGAGCUAUCUCCCCUUGGUGAUAAUUAUUGCCACACUUGUAACAAAAAUCUAUGCCAUGUUAAAACUGCCGAAACAUCCUGCUAAUGUAAACAUCCUGUUGUGCAGUCCAUGUAUGAAUCAAGUCUUUAAA
Oryza sativa Japonica Group (Japanese rice) is the source of this 668-nucleotide non-coding RNA. Lineage: Eukaryota; Viridiplantae; Streptophyta; Magnoliopsida; Poales; Poaceae. The record is from RefSeq and is a predicted model, not a curated record.